AUUGAACGCUGGCGGCAGGCCUAACACAUGCAAGUCGAGCGAAGCGGCGGAUGGGUGAGUAACGCGUGGGUAACCUGCCCUUAAGUCUGGGAUACCAUUUGGAAACAGCUGCUAAUACCGGAUACUAAAGGAUGGACCUGCGAUGCAUUAGCUAGUUGGUAAGGUAACGGCUUACAAAGGCGAUGAUGCAUAGCCGAGUUGAUAGACGGAGCGGCAACAUUGGGACGGAGACACGGCCCAAAAUCCUACGGGAGGCAGCAGUAGGGAAUCGUCCACAAGGGACGAAAGUCUGAUGGAGCAAUGCCGCGUGAGUGAAGAAGGUUUUCGGAUCGUAAAGCUCUGUUGUUGGUGAAGCGGUAAUCAACCAGAAAGUCACGGCUAACUACGUGCCAGCAGCCGCGGUAAUAC
RNAcentral lists this ribosomal RNA (408 nucleotides) under uncultured bacterium. RNAcentral describes it as "partial 16S ribosomal RNA". It matches the Rfam family "Bacterial small subunit ribosomal RNA", at positions 30 to 526 of the family's 1533-position model. The record is from RNAcentral.